GGUCGGACAUCAGGAGGUUAGUGCAAUGGCAUAAGCCAGCUUGACUGCGAGCGUGACGGCGCGAGCAGGUGCGAAAGCAGGUCAUAGUGAUCCGGUGGUUCUGAAUGGAAGGGCCAUCGCUCAACGGAUAAAAGGUACUCCGGGGAUAACAGGCUGAUACCGCCCAAGAGUUCAUAUCGACGGCGGUGUUUGGCACCUCGAUGUCGGCUCAUCACAUCCUGGGGCUGAAGUAGGUCCCAAGGGUAUGGCUGUUCGCCAUUUAAAGUGGUACGCGAGCUGGGUUUAGAACGUCGUGAGACAGUUCGGUCCCUAUCUGCCGUGGGCGCUGGAGAACUGAGGGGGGCUGCUCCUAGUACGAGAGGAC
This 364-nucleotide ribosomal RNA is filed under the name Escherichia coli. RNAcentral describes it as "partial 23S ribosomal RNA". It matches the Rfam family "Bacterial large subunit ribosomal RNA", at positions 2329 to 2692 of the family's 2925-position model. Lineage: Bacteria; Pseudomonadati; Pseudomonadota; Gammaproteobacteria; Enterobacterales; Enterobacteriaceae. The record is from RNAcentral.